AAAAAAGGUAAGCUACUAAGAGCGAAUGGUGGAUGCCUUGACUGGUAAAGGCGAUGAAGGACGUACUAGACUGCGAUAAGCUACGGGGAGCUGUCAAGAAGCUUUGAUCCGUAGAUUUCCGAAUGGGGCAACCCAAUGUAUAGAGAUAUACAUUACCUAUAUAGGAGCGAACGAGGGGAAUUGAAACAUCUUAGUACCCUCAGGAAAAGAAAUCAAUAGAGAUUGCGUCAGUAGCGGCGAGCGAAAGCGUAAGAGGGCAAACCCAGUGCUUGCACUGGGGGUUGUAGGACUGCAAUGUGCAAGAGGUGAGUUUAGCAGAACAUUCUGGAAAGUAUAGCCAUAGAGGGUGAUAGUCCCGUAUGCGAAAAACAAACCUUAGCUAGCAGUAUCCUGAGUAGGGCGGGACACGAGAAAUCCUGUCUGAAGCUGGGUCGACCACGAUCCAACCCUAAAUACUAAUACCAGAUCGAUAGUGCACAAGUACCGUGAGGGAAAGGUGAAAAGAACUGAGGUGAUCAGAGUGAAAUAGAACCUGAAACCAUUUGCUUACAAUCAUUCAGAGCACUAUGUAGCAAUACAGUGUGAUGGACUGCCUUUUGCAUAAUGAGCCUGCGAGUUGUGGUGUCUGGCAAGGUUAAGCAAACGCGAAGCCGUAGCGAAAGCGAGUCUGAAUAGGGCGCUUAGUCAGAUGCUGCAGACCCGAAACGAAGUGAUCUAUCCAUGAGCAAGUUGAAGCUAGUGUAAGAACUAGUGGAGGACUGAACCCAUAGGCGUUGAAAAGCCCCGGGAUGACUUGUGGAUAGGGGUGAAAGGCCAAUCAAACUUCGUGAUAGCUGGUUCUCUCCGAAAUAUAUUUAGGUAUAGCGUUGUGUCGUAAUAUAAGGGGGUAGAGCACUGAAUGGGCUAGGGCAUACACCAAUGUACCAAACCCUAUCAAACUCCGAAUACCUUAUAUGUAAUCACAGCAGUCAGGCGGCGAGUGAUAAAAUCCGUCGUCAAGAGGGAAACAACCCAGACUACCAGCUAAGGUCCCUAAAUCUUACUUAAGUGGAAAACGAUGUGAAGUUACUUAAACAACCAGGAGGUUGGCUUAGAAGCAGCCAUCCUUUAAAGAAAGCGUAAUAGCUCACUGGUCUAGUGAUUUUGCGCGGAAAAUAUAACGGGGCUAAAGUAAGUACCGAAGCUGUAGACUUGAUUUUAUCAAGUGGUAGGAGAGCGUUCUAUUUGCGCCGAAGGUAUACCGGUAAGGAGUGCUGGAGCGAAUAGAAGUGAGCAUGCAGGCAUGAGUAGCGAUAAUUAAUGUGAGAAUCAUUAACGCCGUAAACCCAAGGUUUCCUACGCGAUGCUCGUCAUCGUAGGGUUAGUCGGGUCCUAAGUCGAGUCCGAAAGGGGUAGACGAUGGCAAAUUGGUUAAUAUUCCAAUACCAACAUUAGUGUGCGAUGGAAGGACGCUUAGGGCUAAGGGGGCUAGCGGAUGGAAGUGCUAGUCUAAGGUCGUAGGAGGUUAUACAGGCAAAUCCGUAUAACAAUACUCCGAGAACUGAAAGGCUUUUUGAAGUCUUCGGAUGGAUAGAAGAACCCCUGAUGCCAUCGAGCCAAGAAAAGUUUCUAAGUUUAGCUAAUGUUGCCCGUACCGUAAACCGACACAGGUGGGUGGGAUGAGUAUUCUAAGGCGCGUGGAAGAACUCUCUUUAAGGAACUCUGCAAAAUAGCACCGUAUCUUCGGUAUAAGGUGUGGUUCGCUUCGUAUUAGGAUUUACUCCGAAAGCGAAGAAACUUACAACAAAGAGUCCCUCCCGACUGUUUACCAAAAACACAGCACUCUGCUAACUCGUAAGAGGAUGUAUAGGGUGUGACGCCUGCCCGGUGCUCGAAGGUUAAUUGAUGGGGUUAGCAUUAGCGAAGCUCUUGAUCGAAGCCCGAGUAAACGGCGGCCGUAACUAUAACGGUCCUAAGGUAGCGAAAUUCCUUGUCGGUUAAAUACCGACCUGCAUGAAUGGCGUAACGAGAUGGGAGCUGUCUCAAAGAGGGAUCCAGUGAAAUUGUAGUGGAGGUGAAAAUUCCUCCUACCCGCGGCAAGACGGAAAGACCCCGUGGACCUUUACUACAGCUUGACACUGCUAUUUGGAUAAGAAUGUGCAGGAUAGGUGGGAGGCUUUGAGUAUAUGACGCCAGUUGUAUAUGAGCCAUUGUUGAGAUACCACUCUUUCUUAUUUGGGUAGCUAACCAGCUUGAGUUAUCCUCAAGUGGGACAAUGUCUGGUGGGUAGUUUGACUGGGGCGGUCGCCUCCCAAAUAAUAACGGAGGCUUACAAAGGUUGGCUCAGAACGGUUGGAAAUCGUUCGUAGAGUAUAAAGGUAUAAGCCAGCUUAACUGCAAGACAUACAAGUCAAGCAGAGACGAAAGUCGGUCUUAGUGAUCCGGUGGUUCUGUGUGGAAGGGCCAUCGCUCAAAGGAUAAAAGGUACCCCGGGGAUAACAGGCUGAUCUCCCCCAAGAGCUCACAUCGACGGGGAGGUUUGGCACCUCGAUGUCGGCUCAUCGCAUCCUGGGGCUGGAGCAGGUCCCAAGGGUAUGGCUGUUCGCCAUUUAAAGCGGUACGCGAGCUGGGUUCAGAACGUCGUGAGACAGUUCGGUCCCUAUCUGCCGUGGGCGUAAGAAGAUUGAAGAGAUUUGACCCUAGUACGAGAGGACCGGGUUGAACAAACCACUGGUGUAGCUGUUGUUCUGCCAAGAGCAUCGCAGCGUAGCUAAGUUUGGAAAGGAUAAACGCUGAAAGCAUCUAAGCGUGAAGCCAACUCUAAGAUGAAUCUUCUCUAAGCUCUCUAGAAGACUACUAGUUUGAUAGGCUGGGUGUGUAAUGGAUGAAAGUCCUUUAGCUGACCAGUACUAAUAGAGCGUUUGGCUUAUCUUUAAUAAAGCAU
This 2923-nucleotide ribosomal RNA is filed under the name Campylobacter coli. Its description in RNAcentral is "23S ribosomal RNA". It matches the Rfam family "Bacterial large subunit ribosomal RNA". The record is from RNAcentral. Lineage: Bacteria; Pseudomonadati; Campylobacterota; Epsilonproteobacteria; Campylobacterales; Campylobacteraceae.